GUGGGUUAUGGAGACAUGUGUCCUAUUACAUUAGGUGGUAAGAUUGUGGGCACUCUUUGUGCCAUUGCAGGUGUUUUGACCAUUGCCCUACCAGUGCCUGUGAUAGUCUCCAAU
This is a non-coding RNA of Danio rerio (zebrafish), 114 nucleotides long. The record is from Rfam. Lineage: Eukaryota; Metazoa; Chordata; Actinopteri; Cypriniformes; Danionidae.